RNAcentral lists this ribosomal RNA (255 nucleotides) under uncultured bacterium. RNAcentral describes it as "partial 16S ribosomal RNA". It matches the Rfam family "Bacterial small subunit ribosomal RNA", at positions 524 to 777 of the family's 1533-position model. The record is from RNAcentral.
UACAGAGGGUGCGAGCGUUGUCCGGAAUCACUGGGCGUAAAGGGCGCGUAGGUGGCGCGACAAGUCAGUGGUGAAAGUUCGACGCUCAACGUCGAAUCGGCCACUGAUACUGUUGGGCUUGAGCACUGUAGAGGCUAAUGGAAUUCCGGGUGUAGCGGUGGAAUGCGUAGAGAUCCGGAAGAACACCGGUGGCGAAGGCGGUUGAGCUGGGCAGUUGCUGACACUGAGGCGCGACAGCGUGGGGAGCAAACAGGG